Chlorocebus sabaeus (green monkey) is the source of this 99-nucleotide microRNA precursor. The record is from Ensembl. Lineage: Eukaryota; Metazoa; Chordata; Mammalia; Primates; Cercopithecidae.
GAGGUGGGGGAUUGCUUGAGCCCAGGAGGUUGAGGCUGCAGUGAGCUAUGAUCAUGCCACUGCACUCCAGCCUGAGUGACAGAGUGAGACCUUGUCUCA